Schizosaccharomyces pombe (fission yeast) is the source of this 760-nucleotide non-coding RNA. NCBI's taxonomy places the organism in Eukaryota, Fungi, Ascomycota, Schizosaccharomycetes, Schizosaccharomycetales, Schizosaccharomycetaceae. The record is from the annotation of a GenBank genome assembly.
UUUUGAAAUACAUUUGCUUUGAUUCUUAAGAAAUAAAUUUUUUGUCAAAAAAAUUUCCAAAAAAAAAAAAAAAAAAAAAAAAGGCUUCAGAAGUUUGAAUGAAUUUUGUUUCUUCAAAGUUUUAAUUGAUUUCAAUUCCUCAAAUAUUAAAUAAUUUUUUAAACAACAAAUUUCUUCGUGUUUUACUCACUUGUGGAUGAUUCAUCAUUUCUCACCGUUACUAUUCCUUUCCUUUUUCAAUCUUUAAUCCUUUCUUUAUUCAGUUGUAUCCUUUUCCUUUUCAUCACUCUUAUCCCUUUCUCCUUUACAUUUUACAAUCAAACUCCAUACUUCGCUCUCCUUUCAACAAACUAUCCUACACGAAUUUAUUUAUCUAUUUCUCACUUUUUUUUCGCCUCUUGUAGCCUUUCCUGCACUUAAUCAUUGUUUUCCCUUUAUUUACUCUUUUUUCAAUAUCUCUAGCUUUUGCAAAAGUCAUCCGUUUUCGCUCGUUCUUUCGUUUUUCAUCCAUUUUCAUUGUUUCUCUAUUCAUUUCCUUCUUUUUCAUACCAUUUCACCCAUCUUUUCAUACCAUUUAACCCAUCUUUUCCCGCCCAUCUUCUUCCUAUUCUUCGUUUUUCUUUUACCAUCCAAAAUUCUCUUUCAUUAGCCUGCUGUAAACCGAUUAUAAGCAUGAUCGCUAUAGUCGCCGCUGACACAGACUUAUUGAGCCAAGAACAACGUCAUUCCAUGAUCAACGCUAUGACUGCUAUCUAACCAC